CCUACGGGGGGCAGCAGUGAGGAAUAUUGGUCAAUGGACGAGAGUCUGAACCAGCCAAGUAGCGUGAAGGAUGACUGCCCUAUGGGUUGUAAACUUCUUUUAUAUGGGAAUAAAACGUUCCACGUGUGGGAUUUUGUAUGUACCAUAUGAAUAAGGAUCGGCUAACUCCGUGCCAGCAGCCGCGGUAAUACGGAGGAGCCGAGCGUUAUCCGGAUUUAUUGGGUUUAAAGGGAGCGUAGGUGGAUUGUUAAGUCAGUUGUGAAAGUUUGCGGCUCAACCGUAAAAUUGCAGUUGAAACUGGCAGUCUGGAGUACAGUAGAGGUGGGCGGAAUUCGUGGUGUAGCGGUGAAAUGCUUAGAUAUCACGAAGAACUCCGAUUGCGAAGGCAGCUCACUGGACUGCAACUGACACUGAGGCUCGAAAGUGUGGGUAUCAAACAGGAUUAGAUACCCGAGUAGUC
This 460-nucleotide ribosomal RNA is filed under the name uncultured bacterium. RNAcentral describes it as "partial 16S ribosomal RNA". It matches the Rfam family "Bacterial small subunit ribosomal RNA", at positions 338 to 795 of the family's 1533-position model. The record is from RNAcentral.